This 206-nucleotide ribosomal RNA is filed under the name uncultured bacterium. Its description in RNAcentral is "partial 16S ribosomal RNA". It matches the Rfam family "Bacterial small subunit ribosomal RNA", at positions 568 to 774 of the family's 1533-position model. The record is from RNAcentral.
CGCGUAGGCGGCUCAUAAAGGCUGUGGUGAAAGUUCGGGGCUCAACCUCGAAUCGGCCGUGGCGACUUGUGGGCUGGAGCACUGUAGAGGCGGGUGGAAUUCCGGGUGUAGCGGUGGAAUGCGUAGAGAUCCGGAAGAACACCAGUGGCGAAGGCGGCCCGCUGGGCAGUGGCUGACGCUGAAGCGCGACAGCGUGGGAGCAAACA